This 32-nucleotide transfer RNA is filed under the name Paloue macrostachya. Its description in RNAcentral is "Elizabetha macrostachya partial tRNA-Leu". The record is from RNAcentral. Lineage: Eukaryota; Viridiplantae; Streptophyta; Magnoliopsida; Fabales; Fabaceae.
GACUUAAAAUCCGUCGACUUUAGAAAUCGUGA